Mauremys reevesii (Reeves's turtle) is the source of this 795-nucleotide long non-coding RNA. RefSeq lists it as uncharacterized. The transcript has 4 exons. NCBI's taxonomy places the organism in Eukaryota, Metazoa, Chordata, Testudines, Geoemydidae. The record is from RefSeq and is a predicted model, not a curated record.
AUCAGUUAGUAUGCCUGAAAGAAAACAAAGAAUAAAGGAAAGAUAGAAAAACAGAUGAGCUUCCUGCUUCCUCACAAAAUAACACUUGUGCUUAUGUAAAGUCUUGCAUAAGGUAUCAGCAGAAUUUUCUCACUAUUUAUUAACUUGGCCUGAACACAGAAUCAAUGUCAGACUGAUAAGCCUAUAAUUACCUGGAUCCUUGGCCUGGGUGACCUCUCUAGAGCAAGGUGGUGCACUUGAAGGAACUGCUAAAGUAUAGUCAACAGAAGAAUCCAUAAAGGACACCUUUUGGUUGUCAACAACAGAAUCAGGAGAUGCAGAGUAGUCAAACCUUCGCUGGAAUGGGUUUUUACAGAUUCCUGGAGUGAGUUGCAUUCUCUGUGUCAGAAGCCUUUGUGGGGCAACACAAUCAACCACAUCAUUUUCUGGGAGGCAAGAAAAUGAUGGAAAAAACCCAACCAGUAAUAACAUCAAAAGGUUGAAACCCCCAUCUGAUCAGACAGCAACCAGGUUGUAUUUCUGACUUGGGCAAGCAAGGAAGGUCUGAAAAAUCUAUUAUGGUUUUGACAGCAGAAGAGACAAACUGGGCUGUCAUGGAUGGCCUGCCAAGAAGCUCCUUUCAACUACGGAUCUGCAGCCUAGCUUCCUGUACUUCUCUGUACAACUUGUUGAUCUUGAGAUUCAUGGAACACACAUCAAAAGAGGGGGUCAAUGGUCAGAGUCAAUUCAAGACAAUUUAGUUUAGUAGUCAUCCUGUCAGACUCACUAGUAAGGAAAAACUUGAGUAGCCACUUG